GAAAUGCGAUAAGUAGUGUGAAUUGCAGAAUUCAGUGAAUCAUCGAAUCUUUGAACGCACAUUGCGCCCCUUGGCAUUCCUUGGGGCAUGCCUGUUCGAGCGUCAUGUAGACCCUCAAGCUCAGCUUGGCGAUGGGCGUCUGCCCGCGCCCCCGCGCGCGGACUCGCCCCAAAAUCAUUGGCGGCCGGUAUCACUUUGGCUUCGAGCGCAGCAGAAACGCGCACCUCGGACCGGGUGGAUCGGCCCCCAGGAGCCCAUAUUUGCCAUCUUGACCUCGGAUCAGGUAGGGAUACCCGCUGAACUUAA
Molecule: unclassified non-coding RNA, 306 nt
Filed under: uncultured Pleosporales
Lineage: Eukaryota; Fungi; Ascomycota; Dothideomycetes; Pleosporales
Description: sequence contains ITS1
Rfam family: 5.8S ribosomal RNA (bases 1-105)
Source: RNAcentral